UCACCGGGAUUCUCAGUGGAUU
Molecule: microRNA, 22 nt
Filed under: Pristionchus pacificus
Lineage: Eukaryota; Metazoa; Nematoda; Chromadorea; Rhabditida; Neodiplogasteridae
Description: ppc-miR-2240a
Source: miRBase by way of RNAcentral